AUUGAACGCUGGCGGAAUGCUUUACACAUGCAAGUCGAACGGCAGCACGGGGGCAACCCUGGUGGCGAGUGGCGAACGGGUGAGUAAUACAUCGGAACGUGCCCAGUCGUGGGGAUAACGUAGCGAAAGCUACGCUAAUACCGCAUACGAACUGAGGUUGAAAGCGGGGGAUCGCAAGACCUCGCGCGAUUGGAGCGGCCCGAUGGCAGAUUAGGUAGUUGGUGGGGUAAAGGCUCACCAAGCCGACGAUCUGUAGCUGGUCUGAGAGGACGACCAGCCACACUGGGACUGAGACACGGCCCAGACUCCUACGGGAGGCAG
This 321-nucleotide ribosomal RNA is filed under the name uncultured bacterium. RNAcentral's name for it is "bacterial SSU rRNA". It matches the Rfam family "Bacterial small subunit ribosomal RNA", at positions 29 to 351 of the family's 1533-position model. The record is from RNAcentral.